AAGGUCGUCUUCCGUUUCCUUUUUCUCUUUCUUUUGUCGCGUGCGGCAGGAUGGACUUGGAGAAUAAAGGGACCUGGGAAUUAGUGAGGUAAACAUGUUGGAAGUGAGCAUCAUCUCAGACCUUAGCAGUUAACUAAAAAUGAAAAACAUGGUUUCAGUUAUGCUACCAGGGUUAUUACAGAGUCAUUGAAAAGAAAAAGAUGCUUUAGUAAUUCAGAUUACAAAAUUCAUCUGCAGCUGACAAAGUGGUGAAGUUAUAUGAAGUCUAUAUUUAUUUUAAUAAAAAUGUAUAAAAGCUAAAGCUGA
Molecule: long non-coding RNA, 306 nt
Organism: Python bivittatus (Burmese python)
Lineage: Eukaryota; Metazoa; Chordata; Lepidosauria; Squamata; Pythonidae
Source: RefSeq, a predicted model, not a curated record